RNAcentral lists this transfer RNA (73 nucleotides) under Bos taurus (domestic cattle). It matches the Rfam family "tRNA". Rfam says of the family: Transfer RNA (tRNA) molecules are approximately 80 nucleotides in length. Their secondary structure includes four short double-helical elements and three loops (D, anti-codon, and T loops). RNAcentral also lists the same sequence under 1 other name. Lineage: Eukaryota; Metazoa; Chordata; Mammalia; Artiodactyla; Bovidae. The record is from Rfam by way of RNAcentral.
UCCCUGAUGGUCCUGUGGCUAAGACUUCAUGCUUUUAAUGCAGAGGACCCAGAUUCGAUCCCUGGUCAGGGAA